AUAAAAGUAGGCAAAAAAAAUAUGUUCAUUCUGGAAAGGAGAGACGUGAUUUUCUCUGGAAUGAGGUGGAAAACAUAUGUGCAUACAAUGGUAUCAGCAUGGACAAUCAGAUAAAAUAAGUUGGAAAAUAUUAGCAUAUCGGAUAUUAUAUUACUACUUUGAAUGCGGUAUUGAACAUACGGACGUUGGUUUUUAUUUAGUUAAGUAUUUCUACGUUUUCCAUAUGGUUAAUUUAAUGAAAUGGCAGGUGUGGAGAGGGACUUGUCCACAGUUUUGUGGCCACAAGGGGCAGCAGUGAGCUCUCUACGGCUUGUUGCGUCACUAAUCCGACGUAAAGAAGAUGCCGCCGUUGAAAACGUCAUUUGACAAGUCACACUUAGACUAAAAAUAUGUGCUUUUUUGUAAUAUUUUUCCCUUUAACGAACGAAAACACUACAAAAAUACGAACUAAUGAGUUUGGAAAAUGAACCUCAGGUAAACUUCUUCAUCUGCGAUAAAUAAGAGAGCAACACCGAUAACUGUUAAUUAUCCUGUAGCUACUAGCUUACAUUAAUCUCGCACAAGCUAGCUAGCUAGCUAAUGUUUUUAAUUUACAACGCAUGGCCGAAUUAACAAGAAUUAAGAUAAACAAAAUAUAUGACUUUGACUGCUUAUGCUUGUAUAUUGUCUAUGUCUAUUAUACCGACCUCACAUUUACUGUAUGUGCAGUCCUACAUGUAUAUAAGCACCUUCAUAGGUCAGUCAACUGUCUGUUGACAGGUUAUUGGCCACAGACCUGCUCCUCACCUGGACAGAGCAGAGCACUGGCGGGUGACAUGAAGCUGACACAGGACAGAUGUAAUAACGAGCCUCUACUGUGUGGACGGAGGAUUCACCCUCAGGGCACAGUCUACUGGAGCCCCCCUGACCUCUCUGUCACCCCUUCCUAACCCACGUUAGCCAAGGCAUCCUGGGAACAAGAAAGAAAAUGAAGGAAGACUCUGCUGCGUCUUAGCGUCCGCAGAGCCAAAUCACAACCAGACCCGUUCGUCCGGGGGUGUAGGCAGUGCCCACCCAGGCAGGCAGCCCCUCUAGCCCUGGUCAGCCAUAGAAGAGGUUCAUCCCAGCGGGCUGACCUCUCUUUCAUCUGAUCGUGGGUCUGAGAUGUUCUCUCACACCCAGCACUGCUGCAAGGGCAACAUAUUAGCCAAGGGAGGAGGUUUGCUCCUGUUCUUGUGUGUGUGUGGCAUCUAAAUUUGAUUAGAAUUAGUUAAUUAUUGGGAAUCUGUCGUGGACUUGAAUGUAGAUCCAAAUAUAUCCUGUCGAAGUGGCCAGUUGGAUAUCCUUUCCACAUGAUUUUAUGCUUCAGUUUGUGCCUCGUUGAGUAGCCUUAUAGGUCCCAUGACUGCAGUACACUCUUCUCUUUUUCCACCCAUUCUCAUGUCUCUCCAUGGACACACUUUUCCCAUCUCUCCGCCUUUUUCUUGUAUCUGUCUCUCAGGCUCGAUGGAAAGGCAAGGGCAGACAACUUCACGUGUACACACACUCACACAUGCAGACACACAGCACCCCCACCUCUGCUGACCUCUUCUUCAUCUCCCACAAGGCCUUGGGGUGAGGCAGCCUGGCACCAGACAGUUAUUCAAACCCUCAGGCAGCUUCACUACAGGUCGGAGACAGAAACAGAAACAGAGACAGUGUGAGAGAAAGAGAGAGAGAGCGAGUGAGAGAGAGAUGAAUUCUCAGCUGAUAAUUUACUGAUUAACUGGUGUCUUAGCUUCAUAUGGGGGAAGAGGACUAGAAAGAACUGAGACUUUGUGAAGCCUUUUUAAAACAAUUUCAAUGAAUGUUGGGCAUUGUUUGCUGGAUUUACAUCAAAAUUUUCUUUAGAAAUAUAAAAAUACAAAAUAAAAUUAAAGUCUAAGAAAUUAAUUAGCUUCUUUGACUUUAGUUAUUGCCUUUGUAGAUUCCUCUCAGUGUUUAAACCCAUGCCUUUAAAACAGAAAAAUGUGUUAUUCAGCCAUAAAUUAAUUUUGUUUUUUAUUAUGUUUCAUUUAAUUUUUAAUCCCAUGAAACAGGAAAUAAAAGCAGUGGGAUGCUGUGAUUGGAUUAAAAGUCGUCUUCGUAAACAUUGUGACCCAUGUCUUUGACACACCUCCUUUCUCCUCUUGAAGAAAGUCUCUACAUAACAGGCACGCCAAGAGAUGAAGGUCUCUUUUUAAAAGAGGGACAUGGGAUGGGGAGGCAGACUUUGGAGUCUUUGUUAGGCACGUGGGCCUGUGUUUUGUCUUGGGUUUUGUUCUUCUAAAUCCUCCUCGGUUUGUGUUUGUCUCCGAGCUCUGCUUUGAGCGAUUAGGGACGAGGGUUUGAACAGCUCAGUUAAAUGAAGACAUAAUUCAGCCCUUUAUUGUGGCUUUGAAUAGUCUUUCUUUAUAUCAAUAAAUGACACUGGUUUGAAUAUUAGCCACACUGAAGGUUUUUUCAUAAAAAGAGAAGUAGCCCAAAGUGUUUGCAGAAUUUUACUGUUGCAUUAGACUUGGGGCUGGUUUGCUCUUUAUGGGAUGAGAGUGUAUUGUAUUGGACAAGUGAUGUCAGUAAACCAUGCCACCAGAGAUGAGCCAUAUCACGAGAGGCAUCGCUAGAAAUCUGAGUUGUGCCAUUAGACGGAGUGAAAAGCAGUAUCUUGAGAGAGAGAGAGAGACACACAGAAUGGAUUGUUCCACAACAGACUGACGGACCUUUUAGCCUUAUCUUCCUGAGCUACUCUUACAGAAAACCAAGGAGAGAAGGGAAAAGAAUGCCCUGCUCUUUCUCUCCCUCCCAUUUCCCAUUCUCUCAUUUCUUCUGUCUGCCUCUACCUUCCUUCUUCAUUUCUUCUUCCUCUUUUGUCCAUCAGUCCUUACCCAGCGUUUCUUAAAAAUCCUCUUAACCCUUGCACUCCUUCCAUUGUCCCCAUCCCUCAAUAUCUUACCUUGAUGUUUUAAUAUCUUGUUUCUUUCCUCACCCUCUACUAUCUUAUCCGUCUUCAGCUCUUUACAGCACUCUUAGAGCUCAUUGCCCCUACAGAUUGUUAAAAGGUAGCUCUGUAAGCUGCCACUGAGUCUCAGCAGCAGCAGCUGGCUGUUAUACUCUGUAAAAUAGAUCCCUCUCUCCGUCUCAGCCUCACACUAUAUGCAUGACAGCUUUUCAGGAGUGGUGCCAUACAAAUGUGAACCCAGUUGCUUUUGCAACAACAUCUUAUUUGCAUUUGUUUACAUGUGCCACUCUCUGCACGUUUGGAUUUGCUGCAUGUCAUGAUGUUUGGUGCAGCCCCUUGCCCAGAUCCUGAUACACACACGCACACACGCAACAGUAUUUGGUUGUGAUGACACUACGAGUCGUCCCUCUCCUCCCUCUCUGACAGAAUGAAACGGAUGGAUAAUUAGAUAUCAAAGGGAGGCAGGCAGGGUGUGGCGAGGCGCACGGGCCCCUACGAUGGUAAAGCACUUAUUAAUGAGAUAGGCCUUAUCUGCUCUCCUCCCAGGAAUUCUGCCUUUGAUCGGCCCCGACUCUGGACUUAAUACAUUUUUGAUUGAUAGGCUGAGAUGACAGAGAGAGGCGGC
RNAcentral lists this long non-coding RNA (3581 nucleotides) under Sparus aurata (gilthead seabream). Its description in RNAcentral is "lncRNA (ENSSAUG00010010682.1)". The record is from RNAcentral. Lineage: Eukaryota; Metazoa; Chordata; Actinopteri; Spariformes; Sparidae.